Molecule: non-coding RNA, 26 nt
Filed under: Gallus gallus (chicken)
Lineage: Eukaryota; Metazoa; Chordata; Aves; Galliformes; Phasianidae
Also listed under: 6 other names
Source: RNAcentral
UUCGUACGUAGCAGAGCAGCUCCCUC